AGCUUUGCGCAGUGGCAGUAUCGUAGCCAAUGAGGUUUGUCCGAGGCACGAUUAUUGCUAAUUGAAAACUUUUCGCAAAUAUUGGACCAUCUUCGCAGAUGGUCCCACUUGAUGGUG
RNAcentral lists this small nuclear RNA (117 nucleotides) under Felis catus (domestic cat). RNAcentral's name for it is "U4 spliceosomal RNA". It matches the Rfam family "U4 spliceosomal RNA". Rfam says of the family: U4 small nuclear RNA (U4 snRNA) is a component of the major U2-dependent spliceosome. The structure of U4 snRNA from yeast and human has been reported. U4 snRNA presents a k-turn RNA motif in the 5p-SL related to recognition of Snu13 protein. Lineage: Eukaryota; Metazoa; Chordata; Mammalia; Carnivora; Felidae. The record is from Rfam by way of RNAcentral.